GGAGGAGUGGCAGAGCGGUUGAUUGCACCGGUCUUGAAAACCGGCGUACCGAGAGGUACCGGGGGUUCGAAUCCCUCCUCCUCCG
RNAcentral lists this transfer RNA (85 nucleotides) under Phaeodactylibacter sp. RNAcentral describes it as "tRNA-Ser". It matches the Rfam family "tRNA". Rfam says of the family: Transfer RNA (tRNA) molecules are approximately 80 nucleotides in length. Their secondary structure includes four short double-helical elements and three loops (D, anti-codon, and T loops). Lineage: Bacteria; Pseudomonadati; Bacteroidota; Saprospiria; Saprospirales; Haliscomenobacteraceae. RNAcentral also lists the same sequence under 1 other name. The record is from RNAcentral.